Molecule: long non-coding RNA, 756 nt
Organism: Puntigrus tetrazona (Sumatra barb)
Lineage: Eukaryota; Metazoa; Chordata; Actinopteri; Cypriniformes; Cyprinidae
Exons: 3
Source: RefSeq, a predicted model, not a curated record
ACAUGCUAAUCAAGUUGUAAUGGGCCGUUUGGAGGGUGAUCACCACGAUCAUGUGCAUCUCAGAGUCUGUUGUUGCAAAAUGUUACCAUUGUUGUCAUGAACACAUACCAGUGUACUGGGUUGCUCUAAUCUCAUUUGCAGUGCAGCAGACCUCCUAAGUUCUCUGCGUCUGCCAGGCUUGUUAUGAGCCAACCAUAACCCUUAUUGUAAUCAGCAUUGUGCAACUCAGCAUUGAGUUGUCAUCUGAUAAUAUAUUGACUGCCGUUGCAAAUUGAAUAGCUUGACCCCCAACGCUCCGAGAUAUCUUUAUCUUUCACGCUUUUUAUCUCACUCUUUUCUUCUCUGCCUCUCUCUCUCUCUCUCUCUCUCUCUCUCUCUGUGUUUUCCCCGCUCUUUUUCUCAGCGUGAUUGGAGUCUUGUGACUAACGUGUGGUAUCUAAUUUGAUUGUUUUUUCCCAGGAUCUGAGGCAGAGAAGUCUUGGUGACCUCAGCGUUUUUCUCCAGGAACAGCAGCACUGGUCUCGUGAGGACUGAACUUGAGAUGCCAGAGCACACGGAGAUGUUCUCUGAUCCGCCUUAUCGCUCUAAUUUGCAACAUGACACCCCCAGUGACGAUUCUCGUGAACUCAAGUUAUAAAUUAUGGCGGUGUGGCCAAUGGAUCCGAUACGAGACGGCCUCAUGCGUGGCCCCAAAAGAGUAAACAAGGCAUGCUGGGAGUUGAGGGAGAAGCGAAAGGAAGCUUACAAUGAUGCCGG